UCCAAGUAAGAAAAUACAUUUAUUGACCAAUCUAGUAAUAACCAAUAACUUAAGUGGUCAGUGACCUUUCUUGCUGAUCAAAGACCAAGACAGACAGCCCCUUGAGUCAUUAAAUACAAUUUUGGAAGCUUAUUAUUCAGUCUUCCCCUAUUUAGCCCAAGACAUCUCUAAUUGAUGAAUAGCCAAUGAGGUUGUGGGCCAACAUUCCUUCAGUCCUUAUACAAUUCCUUGAUGAUGGUAGAAAAUCACAUGCCUAAUCCUAGGAUAUCAAGGUCUAGAUGAAAAAAAUCAUGUUAUGCCUCAAUAAGAAUGAUAUUGUCUGUUUGCUCCACUUCAAGACUCUGCUCUGCUGCCCUCAGACCUACCUGGCCAAAGCUAGAUCUUGAUGAACGAACAAGAUGGGUUCCACAAUCUUUCAUUUCAGUCAUCCCAACUUAGAAAACGUUCUGGGCUCAACUUGUUGAGAACAAAGGAGUAAAGAAAGAGCUGUGAAGGGCAGAUCUGAGUCUCCAUUAAACACUAAGGAAUUCUACAAUGUUCAGAACUGAUCUAUCUGUCUAAUGACAGGUGCCCCUCUGAGUGUGACUUUGGCAUCAGAAGCCUCAGAUCUCCUGAUGCAGAUUGUGUUACGGAUCAUGACUCAGGAAACUGGAGUUCUUGGCCCCUAGAAUGCUUUCUGAAGUCACUGGAAGAAAGAAGCUAAAAGCCACAGGAAAAGGAAAGAGCCUGAAGGAGAUUCCGAGCCUUCUUCACCAUCCCCCACUGUGGAUACAAAGCUCUGCAUGUCUUCUAGGCUCUGCCCUUCAAAGUCUCUGGAUCAUUCCUCUAUCACAACUCUCCUUAGGUAACCUGGUGGGUCCACGUACACCAUGGGGGCUCACUAUAGUUUAUACGGAAUUUUUCAGGGACACACAAGCUAGUUAGCCCACUGCAUCUCCAACAACUGGGUCCCCUCCCAAGUAGGAAGAGCUAACCUGUUUGGAGAUUUGGCAUUGUGUGAUUCCUCUUAAGAAAUGGUAAAGAGUAAAUUAGCUUGUACAAAUCAGCAGAGACCUCAGUAUACAU
Molecule: long non-coding RNA, 1065 nt
Filed under: Monodelphis domestica (gray short-tailed opossum)
Lineage: Eukaryota; Metazoa; Chordata; Mammalia; Didelphimorphia; Didelphidae
Description: lncRNA (ENSMODG00000040411.1)
Source: RNAcentral